Molecule: ribosomal RNA, 332 nt
Filed under: uncultured Ruminococcus sp.
Lineage: Bacteria; Bacillati; Bacillota; Clostridia; Eubacteriales; Oscillospiraceae
Description: partial 16S ribosomal RNA
Source: RNAcentral
GGAGUUUGGGCCGUGUCUCAGUCCCAAUGUGGCCGGUCGCCCUCUCAGGCCGGCUACGGAUCGUCGCUUUGGUGGGCCGUUACCCCGCCAACUGGCUAAUCCGACGCGGGUCCAUCUCUAUCCACCGGAGUUUUUCACACUCACAGAUGCCUGUGUGUGCGCUUAUGCGGUAUUAGCAGUCAUUUCUAACUGUUAUCCCCCUGAUAGAGGCAGGUUACCCACGCGUUACUCACCCGUCCGCCGCUCAGUCAUCCCUCUCUUUCAAUCCGAAGAAAUCAAGAAAAGGCGCUUCGCUCGACUUGCAUGUGUUAAGCACGCCGCCAGCGUUCAUC